Molecule: long non-coding RNA, 1164 nt
Organism: Magallana angulata
Lineage: Eukaryota; Metazoa; Mollusca; Bivalvia; Ostreida; Ostreidae
Exons: 4
Source: RefSeq, a predicted model, not a curated record
UGAAUGUGUUAGUAGGAAAAAGUUUGAUUAUUCUCGGAAACUCAAAUGUUAAAAUACAUGGUAUAAAUUUACUUAUAUGCAUGUAUGCUGAAAUAGGUCGAUUUUCAAUUGUAUAGACAGUGGGCAAUACUUCGGCCACAUCAGGGAUUCAAAAUUUGAUGUAGGAUUAUAUUCGUAUAAAAAUGCAGUUGUGUUUAAGAUCUUCUUCAGUAUUGCAAUGCAUGUAAAAUGAAUUGUUAGUGUAUGAACAAUUUUUAUGGUUCAUUUAAUUACAUCAUCAAAUCGGUAAUACAAAAUAGCUUAUUCAUUAAUUCAUUUAUAAAAUAAUUUUUUGAUUUUUUUUUAGAAAAAAAAAUGAAUCAAUACACAACCAAAAACCCGUUGAAUGAAUGAAUAAAUAAAUAAAUAAAGGAUAAAUAAAUAAAUAAAAAUGAAUAAAUAAAAAAAAGACAACUAGAUAGAUAAAUAAAUAAAUAAAUAAAUAAAUAAACUACUUGAGUGCAGGCAAGUACUGCGGGGGUGUUUUGUCGGCGGUAAUAAAGACACUUGACAAUAACAUUGUAAAAAAAUAAUUCCAAAAAACGAAAAUGCAAUAUGAGCUACAUGUGAUUGUCCGGAAAACAGUGACAUUGACAGUAUACAACCAAUAUACAGACAGGCUCACUAUAAUAAACCGAUGGAGGAGAUGAGUAUUUUGACACCCCCUCCCGUUUUUAUAGAGAUAUGACAAUAUAAGUCAAUAUAGGAAGAUAAUAAUAACAAUAGAUUGAGAUCGGAGGCUGUCUAGGGUUGACCCCCCGGGGUGGACACUCAGGGAGAGGACGAGGAUACGUCGCAUAUAUAGCAUGUUCCUGCUUCGAUAUCUUCGCUCGACGAGAUUUCACGAGAUCUGGAGGAACAGAGAAAGCUAGGUUCCCAGAAAACAAGCAGCCAUGUCCCCUUACAUCGCCGUGAUUUUGUCCCUGUGUGUCUGCCUCUCCUUGACCGUACAGGAACCGCUAAACACCAAGGCCGGGGCGACAAGGCAGCGCAGUAGGGUUACACGGAACAUCCUUGGGGAGCUUGAGAUGAUGAACGCGCUGGCAGAGCGGAUGAACUGGGUGGGGCACGGACUCAAUAUGUCUCUAUAUGGAAAAUAGACAAUAAGGGAACGCUUAAUAAAGG